AGACCCGAAACCCGGUGAUCUAGCCAUGGGCAGGUUGAAGGUUGGGUAACACUAACUGGAGGACCGAACCGACUAAUGUUGAAAAAUUAGCGGAUGACCUGUGGCUGGGGGUGAAAGGCCAAUCAAACCGGGAGAUAGCUGGUUCUCCCCGAAAGCUAUUUAGGUAGCGCCUCGUGAAUUCAUCUCCGGGGGUAGAGCACUGUUUCGGCUAGGGGGCCAUCCCGGCUUACCAACCCGAUGCAAACUGCGAAUACCGGAGAAUGUUAUCACGGGAGACACACGGCGGGUGCUAACGUCCGUCGUGAAGAGGGAAACAACCCAGACCGCCAGCUAAGGUCCCAAAGUCAUGGUUAAGUGGGAAACGAUGUGGGAAGGCCCAGACAGCCAGGAUGUUGGCUUAGAAGCAGCCAUCAUUUAAAGAAAGCGUAAUAGCUCACUGGUCGAGUCGGCCUGCGCGGAAGAUGUAACGGGGCUAAACCAUGCACCGAAGCUGCGGCAGCGACACUCAGGUGUUGUUGGGUAGGGGAGCGUUCUGUAAGCCUGUGAAGGUGGCCUGUGAGGGUUGCUGGAGGUAUCAGAAGUGCGAAUGCUGACAUAAGUAACGAUAAAGCGGGUGAAAAGCCCGCUCGCCGGAAGACCAAGGGUUCCUGUCCAACGUUAAUCGGGGCAGGGUGAGUCGACCCCUAAGGCGAGGCCGAAAGGCGUAGUCGAUGGGAAACGGGUUAAUAUUCCCGUACUUGGUGUUACUGCGAAGGGGGGACGGAGAAGGCUAUGUUGGCCGGGCGACGGUUGUCCCGGUUUAAGCGUGUAGGUGUGUGUUCCAGG
Molecule: ribosomal RNA, 825 nt
Filed under: Salmonella enterica subsp. enterica serovar Virchow
Lineage: Bacteria; Pseudomonadati; Pseudomonadota; Gammaproteobacteria; Enterobacterales; Enterobacteriaceae
Description: partial 23S ribosomal RNA
Rfam family: Bacterial large subunit ribosomal RNA
Source: RNAcentral